This 434-nucleotide ribosomal RNA is filed under the name uncultured bacterium. Its description in RNAcentral is "partial 16S ribosomal RNA". It matches the Rfam family "Bacterial small subunit ribosomal RNA", at positions 29 to 507 of the family's 1533-position model. The record is from RNAcentral.
AGCGAACGCUGGCGGCAGGCCUAACACAUGCAAGUCGAACGAACCUUUCGGGGUUAGUGGCGAACGGGUGAGUAACACGUGGGAACGUGCCUUUAGGUUCGGAAUAACUCAGGGAAACUUGUGCUAAUACCGAAUGUGCCCUUCGGGGGAAAGAUUAAUCGCCUUUAGAGCGGCCCGCGUCUGAUUAGCUAGUUGGUUGAGGUAAUGGCUCACCAAGGCGACGAUCAGUAGCUGGUCUGAGAGGAUGAUCAGCCACAUUGGGACUGAGACACGGCCCAAACUCCUACGGGAGGCAGCAGUGGGGAAUCUUGCGCAAUGGGCGAAAGCCUGACGCAGCCAUGCCGCGUGAAUGAUGAAGGUCUUAGGAUUGUAAAAUUCUUUCACCGGGGACGAUAAUGACGGUACCCGGAGAAGAAGCCCCGGCUAACUUCGUG